This 116-nucleotide microRNA precursor is filed under the name Dasypus novemcinctus (nine-banded armadillo). RNAcentral describes it as "miRNA (ENSDNOG00000027693.1)". The record is from RNAcentral. Lineage: Eukaryota; Metazoa; Chordata; Mammalia; Cingulata; Dasypodidae.
AGCUUGUAAACCUGCAGAUCCUUGGGUGCAAUACCAGGGUCUGAUUCCCUUCGUCUUGGGAGGGGUCCAGGAAUCUGCAUUUUAAUACCUACUCAGGGUGAUUCUGAUACAGGUGG